RNAcentral lists this ribosomal RNA (492 nucleotides) under uncultured bacterium. RNAcentral describes it as "partial 16S ribosomal RNA". It matches the Rfam family "Bacterial small subunit ribosomal RNA", at positions 29 to 507 of the family's 1533-position model. The record is from RNAcentral.
AGUGAACGCUGGCGGUAGGCCUAACACAUGCAAGUCGAACGGCAGCACAGUAAGAGCUUGCUCUUACGGGUGGCGAGUGGCGGACGGGUGAGGAAUACAUCGGAAUCUACUUUUUCGUGGGGGAUAACGUAGGGAAACUUACGCUAAUACCGCAUACGACCUACGGGUGAAAGCAGGGGAUCUUCGGACCUUGCGCGAUUGAAUGAGCCGAUGUCGGAUUAGCUAGUUGGCGGGGUAAAGGCCCACCAAGGCGACGAUCCGUAGCUGGUCUCUGAGGAUGAUCAGCCACACUGGAACUGAGACACGGUCCAGACUCCUACGGGAGGCAGCAGUGGGGAAUAUUGGACAAUGGGCGCAAGCCUGAUCCAGCCAUACCGCGUGGGUGAAGAAGGCCUUCGGGUUGUAAAGCCCUUUUGUUGGGAAAGAAAAGCAGCAGGUUAAUACCCCGCUGUUCUGACGGUACCCAAAGAAUAAGCACCGGCUAACUUCGUG